This 4111-nucleotide long non-coding RNA is filed under the name Homo sapiens (human). RNAcentral's name for it is "HSALNT0135975". The record is from RNAcentral. Lineage: Eukaryota; Metazoa; Chordata; Mammalia; Primates; Hominidae.
CUGCCUCCUGGGGUUGUUCUGAGGCUCACAUGAGCUACUUGGAACUCAGUUCAGGUCCAGCUACAACUAGAUCCAGAGCUAAACUGAUGUCAUCAAGUCUCAGUUUGAAUGAUCCUCUCAGCUCCACUGUUCUUCAUCUUAACUUAAUUCCAAAGUCAUUCCACAGUGGUGAUAUAGCUGCCAGCAGCUACACAAACCCAAAGGCAACAGCCCACAUCCUUCUCCCAGAAGUCCCAUAAAGAGUCUCACUGCUUUUCAUUGGUUCUGAUUGUGGCCGACACUCACCCUUCAUCCAAUCUCUGUGGCCAGGAGAAUCCAGCGCUCUGAUUGGUCAGGCCUGGCUCCAUGGCCACCUGAAGUCCGGGGUGGAGUUAACUCCACCUGCAACACAUGGACUGAUGGAAAAGGGAAAAAGAUCUGGAAAUCCAAAAAGCUUGGAGAGCAAAUUGCAUUUGGUUUCUAUUACACAGUGCAGCAGAUUUAAUUAUUCUUGAAAAAAUUUUUUAUCUUCAAAGGGACUCAAGCUGAAGACCUCCUUUAGGUAUGUCGUCGGUAGAUACCUACCUCCAGUGGCUGGCUUGUUUUAGCCUCAUGGUCAAGAUGAGGAAUCUCAGAGUGGACUGCAGCCCAUGCUCUUUUCCAGAGCGUGUCAGAGGACAGGCUGUCACGAAGGCAGGCUUCACAGUGCCGGUUUCCUGAGACCACGGGAAAUGUGGCUGAAGGGGUCAUUGAUGUCUAACCUCCUGUGUUAUUCUGGGUGCAGUUCUAAUGCCCAGACCAUUGGUGUCCCCUGGAAUGUGCCCUUGGGUCAGAGCAAACUUUAAGUUAUUGUUAAUGAGGUUGUGCAUAUUUGCAUAAACUUUCAAGGUGAAAUAUUUCAGGGUUUUUCUUGUGGCUGGCAUUUGUUUUUCUUUCUCUAUCUUUUCACUUACCACAGUUGAUUCAAACCCCUUAAGCCUGGAAAGGACAUAGGAGCAAAGGGGGACCCCAUAACUGGGGGGCAUGCAAUAAUGGAGGCGUUGAGAGCAAGCCAGAGCUCUGGCCAAAGGUGGUCAGACAAUGGUCCAGAUCCCCGUUAUUAAGCUUCCCCAGGCUUCAUUUGUGGGAGUGGUGGCGGAUUGAAUAUUCCCCCCCCCCCCCAGAAUUCAUAUCUGCCUAGAACCUCAGAAUGUGACAUCAUUUGGAAAUAGAGUCUUUGCAGAUAUAUUAGUUAAGAUGAGAUCAUGCUAGAUUAAGGGUGGGCCCUAAAUCCAAAGGAGAGGAAUCUCAUUCUGUCUCCCAGGCUGGAGUGCAGUGGCAAGAUGUCAGCUCGCUGCAACCUCCACCUCCCGGGUUUGACACACACACACAGGGGAAGAGGGCCUGUGAAGAUGGAGGCAGAGAACGGAGUGACGCAGCGACAAGCCAAAGGGCACUGAGGAUGGCCAGAAGCCGCCAGAGGCUGGAAAAGCAAGAGCAAAGUCUCCCUGGAGCCUGCGGAGAGCCUGGUUCUGCCGAUACCGAUACCGACUUCAGAGUCGUAGACUCCAGAACUGUGAGGGAAUACAGUGCUGUUGCUUUAAGCCAUAGCAUUUGUAUUCAUUUGUUACAACAACCCUAGGAAACCAAUCAGGGGCUCUUAAAGGAAUCCAAGGCCUGAGGCAAAACAUGGGUCAGAGAAUGGAAAUGUGGACACAGAAGUCCCCGUGGAAAUGCCCUGAUGAGACUUGUUUGAAGGAUGAACUUCUGCUCCAAGAUAAUGUGGGCCUGUCCAUGCCACAUUCUUUAUUAGGCCACCAUAUUGGCUCUGCAGUUUGCACCCCCAAGGGGAGAGAAGGGACCGGAAUCCUGUCUAUCUCUCUCCACUGAGCCAAAUGUGCUGGUACAAAGCCUCAUUCCCCUGGAGAAAAGGGUUUCCUUUUCUUGGCUUGAAGGUGCUAACUCUCCUGCCUGUUCCUUAAGCUGUGUGCUGGGGGAGUGAGGCUGUACAGAGGGGCCACCACCAUCUAAUUAACAUGAUGGGCCGGGCACAGUGGCUCAUGCCUGUAAUCCUAGCACUUUGGGAGGCCGAGGCGGGUGGAUCACUUGAGGUCAGGAGUUCAAGACCAGCCUGGCCAACAUGGUGAAACCCUGUCUCCACUAAAAAUACAAAAAUUAGCCGGGCGUGGUGGCAUGUGCCUGUAAUCCCAGCUACUCAGGAGGCUGAGGCAGGAGAAUCACUUGAACCUGGGAGGCGGAGGUUGCAGUGAGCUGACAUUGUGCCACUGCACUCCAGCCUGGGUGACAGAAUGAGAUUCCGUCUCAAAAAAAAAAAAAAUUCACAUGACAGUACCAUAAAGACUAGCGGCCCUGAUCCAGCUGCACACAGCCCUCACUCACAUUGCCCAACCACAGAAUCCCUCAUUUCUUCCACAGGCACCCACACCCAUUCCCCCACCCACACACACGCUUUCAAUAUUCAGCCUCUCCUCAUUUUUCAAUGGUUCCAUAUUUGCAAAUUUGCCUACUUGCUAAAAUUUAUGUCUGCCCCCCAAAUCCAUACUCAGGACACACUCAUGGUCAUUUGCAGACAUGUGCAGAGUGACAAAAAAUUUGGGGUCUCUGGAUGUGCAUGUUUAUAUCUGAGAUCAAACAAGGAAAUGCUCUGCUCUCUUUUUUUCUUACUCUAAAUAAGAGUCCUUUUCAUAGUUUAUGUAGUGCCAUGUUUUUCGCAUUUUUGUGCUUUUUGUUGGUGAUUUUGCCAUUUAAAAUGGUCCCCAAGGGUAACACUGAAGUGCUAUCUAGUGUUGCAUAGCCUGAGAAGGAUGCAAUGCAACUUCCAGAGAAAAUAUGUGCGUUAGGUAAGCUCUGCUCAGGUGUGUCACACUGCAGGUGGCCAUGAGUUCAAUGUACUAAUGAAUCAGCAAUACAUAUCAUAGGAAGUGUCCUUAAACAGAAAGAGAAAUAAAACUGUCAGAGGCGUUCAAACUAGAGUGACUCCAUCUUGAAUAGGGGCUUGGUAAAAUAAGGCCGAUGCCUGCUGGGCUGCAUUCCUAGGUGUUUAGGCAUUCUUAGUCACAGGAUGAAACAGGAGGUCAACAGGACUGAUAUCACAAGAUACAGGUCACAAAGACCCUGCCGAUAAAACAGGAGGCCGUAAAGAAGCCAGUCAAAACCCAUCAAAACCAAGAUGGUGACAAAAGCGACCUCUGGUCAUCCUCACUGUUCAUUAUAUGCUAAUUGUAAUACAUUAGCAGGCUGGGUGCAGUGGCUCACACCUGUAAUCCCAGCACUUUGGGAAGUUGAGGCAGGUGGAUAGCUUGAGCCCAGGAGUUUGAGACUAGCUUGGGCAACAUGGCAAGACCCUGUCUCUACAAAAACUACAAAAAUUAGCUGGGUGUGGUAGCACAUGCCUGUUGUCCCAGCUACUAGGGAGGCUGAGAUGAGAGGAUCGUUUGAUCCUGGGGGUCAGAGGUUGCAGUGAGCCAAAACUGCACCACUGCACUCUAACCUGGGUGACAGAGUGAGACCCUAUCUCAAAUAAUAAUAAUAAUAAUAAUAAUAAUAAUAAUAAUAAUAAUAAUAAUAAUAAUACAUUAGCAUGCUAAAAGACACUCUCACCAGUGCCAUGACAGCUUACAAAUGCCAAGGCAAAGGCUGGAAGCUACCCUAUAUGGUCUAAAAGGGUGAGGGACCCUCAGUUAUGGGAACUCCUCUCCCCUUCCUCGAAAACCCACGAAUAAUCCACCCCUUGUUUAGCAUAUAAUCAAGAAAUAACCAUAAGUUUACUUAGUCGAGCAGCCUCUGCCACUGCUGUGGCUGUGGAGUAGACAUUCUUCUGUUUCUUUACUUCUCUAAUAAACUUGCUUUUGUUUUACUCUGUGGUCUCGCUCGAAUUCUGUCUUGCGUGAGAUCCAAGAACUCUCUCUUGGGGUCUGGAUUGGGACCUCUUUCUUGUAAAAAAACAAGGUUAUGAAUCAAUCAGUUGAUGAAGAUGUUGUGACCAGAGGCUCAUAGGAGCAUAACCCUCUAUUUCCCCUAGGAGCAAUGGUUCAGUAUUCGCCAUUCCAGCAUUCCAGAAAGUUUAUGGAACAUCACUAUAUCCAAUAAUGAGAAUUGCUUAUAUUUUUUCACCCAGGCCCGGUGAGGGGAA